GAAAAGACUUUCUUCCUUCUCUCAGUUCUCUGUGCCGACUGUGCGACUUUCUUCUCUGUUCGAAGCCUAGCAAAAAAAUUCACUUUACCAAUCUACACCCUCACUCCGUUCGUCGCCGACGCCGUUGCUCGCCGCAUCUGUGAGACUCCAUCGCCAUCGCCAUCGCCUUAACAAGUCCCAAGUCCCAAGUCCCAAAUCGAAGCUGCUCUCUGCCUCUCCGGCCUCCGCCAGUCCGCCGCGCUGUACGUCUCCUGUCGGCUGUGUCCUGCCGUGCUGGUUCAUCGCUGCCGAGUGUCGAAGACGAAGCACCAAGAUCUCACUAGUUCAUCGCUGGUUCAUCACUGCUCAUCUCUGGCUCACUUAGGUAAGUGCUCCUCUGUUUUUGGCUCUGUGUCUCUGGCAUUAAAAUGGGCCAAGAUCGACUAGGAAACUUGUUAUCCUGAAUUGAUAAGGGGACGAAAUCUGAGCUUCCAAUUGCAAACUCUAACUGUUGUAGUAGUUUAGAUUAGGUGUGAUAUAACAUAAGCUUUGUAUUUUAUACACAAGAAGCUCUCUCCAGUUGUGCAGCCUUUAAAAGUUAAGGCCUUGGGGAAAAAUUCCACCUUUUACCCGUUAGAAAGAUUGGCCUCAUGCUUUUGAAUAUACAUGCCGCAUACGUUGAUUGAGCUGAAUGUCUUGGUUUCUGAUCAUUUUUGGGCUAGUUAUUGCUUUAAUUUGAGUGAGAAUCCGGCAAAAUUUUAAUGCCCAUUUACUGUUCGACAAAAUGCUUGAUUGAAAGUUUUAGUUGAAGGGUGAUUGGUCUGCAUUUUUGCACAUGAAAAAUACUGGCCAAGUCGGCCAGUUCACUUCCUCGCAUCUAAGAAUUUUUGGUGUGUUGAUGUCUUACAUUUUUCUGCUCCUUAUGCUUCCGGUCGAGUGAAUUCGAAUUGAUGUUAUGAGAGGGAGUGUUGUGAGUCUCAUUGUUUGUUGGAAUGGUUAGAAAUUGAAGCCAGAUUUCUGGUUGCUGUCUUGCUGAAUGGUAAUUGAUAUUUGCUCGUUGGAGAAGAUGAUCACUUGUCCAAAAUUGCAAUUUCAGUCCCUCCGUUUUCUUUUUGUUUAGUGAUUUGGUCCUGUCUUUUCCUGAGCUUCAUAUUUGCCUCCAACACCAUCAUAAGUCCCUUAAUUAGGUCCCUGCUUUGUUGCAUUUUAAUCCCUCAAGUCCCCCUUGUUCACCGUAGCCUCAAAAUUUGGAAAAAUCAAAUCCAUUUUGCCUUUCUUGAGCUUAAUCCUAUGUUUGCCUAUUUUAUAUGACUUUUUGGGAUAAAUUAAUUCUUGACUUUAGAUCAUAAUUGUGGCUUAAUAUUUUUUGUUAAUUUGUUUAUGUUAUUGGGUUUAGUAUUAUGGUUUAAGUUUUUUGGGUAAUUAUAUUUGAUUAGGCUUGUAAAAAUUCUUUUUCUUUUUCUGCUCCUUCUUAGACCACACUUUGCUGUUUUAAGUUAAUUUAUUCUUUUGGGAAGUUAUGUAACUUUUUUUGUGUUUUUACCUCUAUGCUUUUUGUAGGAAGCCAAGACAAUCAAACAAUUCGACUUGCCAAAGCUUUGAAGAUUUAUGUUUCUAAAUCUAGAUUAGCUCAUUAUUUGGACCUUGUUAAUUUAUGAGACGUAACUUAUUAUGUAUUGUGGAGUAUGUUUAUAUUUUAAAGCCUUUUUCUUUCAUUUGCCGAAUGUAUGACUAUUGUGUGAGCAGGCUGGCCGCUGGUUAAUGACAUGUUAAUGUGUAGGAUAAAUGUCUAGAAAACUUGUUUUUUGAGUGUGUCGUGUGUGGUAUAAGGUUCAGAGGUUUUGCUUGUGGGUUCAAUUCUUUUGCUCUUUCCUCUGUUUAAAAUGACAGCCUGGAAAGAGCCGUUGCAAUUUGCUGUAAAAGGCUCCAGCCUCUGGGAUUGCAUUUUAAUGGUGGUAUUGAGGUCAUCUUUGCUGGGUCAGUUCAAAUCUGGUCAGAGAUUAGACCUUCUAUUGCACAGUGCAAUUGCAGCCCUUCUCAGGAAUCAAUCCAACAUUUGUAUCAAGACAAGAAUACAGAAUCUGCAGCAUUCGGCCAUGUGAAGAAUUCAAGAAAGUGGAGAUGGAAUAACAAGAAGAGGAAUUUUGCGACGAACUGCAACGCCAGGGCAUUCUGUCAUAUCCAACUCUUUUCCCUGUGCACCAUCAGGAAAUUGCCAAUCAAACUUGCUUACCAAAUUUGCCAACACAAGUUCAUUGCUGGCAACAGCAAAAGCGAUUCCAGGACAACCCCUCCUACCAGCACCAAAUGGGAUUAACUGGAAAUCAUGCCCUUUGAAAUCUAUAGACGAAUCCAUAAAUCUCUCUGGCAUAAAGUUCACAGGAACCAGCAACGGAAUUGGAGGAUGUAAGCGAAGAGUUUCCUUGAUCACUGCUUUCAAAUAAUGCAUCUCGGCCAAGUCAUCCUCGGAUAUCUGUUCUUUGCCACCAACAACCGCUCUUAUUUCAGUUUGCAAUUUCUUUAGGAUAAUGGGGUGUCUUAAGAUCUCUGCCAUUGCCCAUUCUGCAACUGUAGCCGUGGUAUCAGUUCCAGCAGAGAAUACAUCCUACAGUCAAAAAGAUAUACACUUAAAAUCAAUGAUUUGUUGAUUGUCCGUGAGAAUGAUCAGAGAUGACGCUUAAUGAAGCUUAAUGAUUUUAUAUUCAGAAAAAAUGAUUUUAUAGAAGCUUAAUGAUUUUAUACUCAGAAAA
Coffea arabica (coffee) is the source of this 2729-nucleotide non-coding RNA. The record is from RefSeq and is a predicted model, not a curated record. Lineage: Eukaryota; Viridiplantae; Streptophyta; Magnoliopsida; Gentianales; Rubiaceae.